Molecule: ribosomal RNA, 3489 nt
Filed under: Triticum aestivum (bread wheat)
Lineage: Eukaryota; Viridiplantae; Streptophyta; Magnoliopsida; Poales; Poaceae
Description: partial small subunit ribosomal RNA
Source: RNAcentral
AUGGAUACGGGCGCUACGGACCAUUUGACGAGUCAGCUUGACAAGCUGGCCACUCGCCAGCCCUACACCGGUCACGAUCAGGUUCACACGGCCAAUGGAUCAGGUAUGCCCAUCUCACAUGUUGGUCAGGCAUCUCUUCUUUCACGUACCACUAAAACCUUGCAUCUACUUGAUGUCCUUCGUGUUCCCUCAGUCACACGUAGUUUACUCUCGGUUCCUAAAUUAACUCGUGACAACAAUGUGUUUGUUGAGUUUCACCCUUUCCAUUUUUUUGUUAAGGACCGGGACACGAGGGACGUUCUUCUUAGUGGUCGAGCUCGCGACGGCUUAUACGCACUUGAUGUGCCACGAGUCUCUCAAGUUUUCAGUGGUGUUCGGGUGUCGUCGUCACAGUGGCACUCUCGCCUUGGCCACCCCGCUACUCCCAUUGUGCGCCAUGUGCUUCAUCGCCAUCAUCUUCCUGUUGAAUCGAGUAAUAAGGAGUUUCUAGUGUGUGAUGCUUGUCAACAAGGCAAGAGUCAUCAGUUGCCUUUUUCUGUAUCAAGUCGUGUUGUCACGGCUCCUCUUGAGCUUGUGUUUUCAGACGUGUGGGGCUAUGCCCAAACUUCUGUUAGUGGUCACAACUAUUAUGUCAGUUUCAUCGAUGCUUUCAGUCGCUUUACUUGGAUUUAUCUUAUUAAGCGCAAAUCUGAUGUGUUUCAUGUCUUUAUGCAAUUUCAAGCACAUGUUGAACGAUUGCUUAAGCACAAAAUUAUCCAUGUUCAGUCAGACUGGGGGGGGGGUGAGUAUCGUAACCUUAACACCUUCUUUCAGAAGCUUGGCAUCUCACACCGUGAGUCUUGUCCUCAUACACAUCAGCAGAACGGUGCAGCUGAGCGCAAACACCGUCACAUAGUUGAAACUGGCCUGACACUUCUUGCACAUGCCUCUGUCCCGUUUCGGUUCUGGAGCGAUGCUUUUGUUACUGCCUGUUUUUUGAUAAACAGGAUUCCCACACGACGCCUUCACAUGAAGUCUCCACUCGAAGUGUUGCUUAAUGAAACUCCAGAUUACUCCCUCCUCAAAGUGUUCGGCUGUGCGUGUUGGCCGCAUCUUCGUCCGUACAAUAAGCAUAAACUUGAGUAUCGAUCUAAACAAUGUGUGUUUCUUGGGUACAGUCCUCUCCACAAAGGUUACAAGUGUCUUCACAUCCCGUCAAAUCGUGUUUACAUCUCUCGUGAUGUUGUGUUCGAUGAGACUGUCUUCCCGUUUUCCACGCUCACAUCACCCACCGAUACUCCCGUCACUGAGUUGCACUCUUUUCCAGUUUUGCCUGAUCAAUUUGUGGAUGCUGCAUAUUCUCCUCUGUUGUUGCCUAACCAUGGUGCAGGGACUGGACGAGGCGCUCGACUUGAGCUUCUGGAUGAUGAUAUGGCCACAACUGCGCCAGUUGCUGCCACGCCGGACGAGGCGCUCGACGAGGCUGCCCCCACCACUACCCCGCUUGACCCCGACGUCGAUCACGCGUGCAUGCCCCAUGCACGAGGAUCCGACAGGGUGACCAAGUCGCCGGGGCCAGCGGCCUCGCUGUCGCCUGGGCCGGCCGAACCUGCGGAGCUGUCGGCCGGGCCGGCUGGACCCGCGGCGCUCUCCCCUGAGCCGAAGGCCUCGCAGGUCAUCAAGUCUUCGUCGCCUGGUCCGUCGACGCCAAUCACGCCCGGUCUGUCUUCGCCGACCCUGACCGUGCCACCGGAUGCGCCUGUUGACUCGCCCGCCGGUGCGUCCUCCUCGCCGAUGAUGGAUAGUGGCUCCUCUGGUAUGGCAGCUCCAGCGCCACCUCCGCCUGUCGUCCUGCGUCCCCAUACUCGCAGCAAAAGUGGCAUCUUCCAACCGAAGAAGCGCACUGACGGCACUGUCGCGUGGCUUGCGGCCUGUGUGGCACAUGCUGAGGCUGACCCUACGACUGAACCACGACAUUUUCGAGCGGCGCUUGGCAUCCCGCAUUGGCGUGCUGCGAUGGAGCAGGAGAUUCAUGCCCUUCAAAGAAACAACACUUGGCGUCUUGUUCCACCUCCAUCUGGUGUUAAUAUCAUUGACUCUAAAUGGGUAUUCAAGGUGAAGAAACAUGCUGAUGGCUCCGUUGAGAGGUACAAGGCACGCCUGGUUACCAAGGGGUUCAAACAACGGUAUGGCAUUGAUUAUGAAGACACAUUCAGUCCUGUUAUUAAACCAACUACGAUUCGUGUUCUUCUCUCUUUGGCUGUUACUCGCGGAUGGUCGCUUCGACAGCUUGAUGUUCAGAAUGCCUUUCUCCAUGGAGUUCUGGAAGAAGAGGUUUAUAUGCGUCAGCCGCCAGGUUUUGUUGACCCUGCUCAGCCACAUCAUUUAUGUCGUCUUGUCAAAGCUCUUUACGGUUUGAAGCAGGCCCCGCGUGCAUGGCAUGCCCGUCUUGGCGCUGCUCUUCGUGCGCAUGGGUUUGUUCCUUCUACAGCAGACACGUCUCUGUUUAUUCUACAGCGACCUGAGGUGACUAUGUACAUUCUGGUAUAUGUUGAUGACAUCAUCCUUGUCAGUUCGUCUGCUUCUGCUACAGACCGGCUUGUGUCCUCUCUUGGUGCUGAGUUUGCUGUUAAGGAUCUUGGGAGACUGCAUUAUUUUCUGGGCCUAGAGGUUCUUCAUUCUGAAGGGGGCUUGACUCUUACUCAGAAGAAGUACUCUCAGGAUCUCCUGCGUCAUGCCGGUAUGUUGCAGUGCAAGUCUGCUACGACUCCCAUGUCUGCUACACACAAACUGACAGCUCUUGCUGGUGACUUGCUUGCUCCUGAGGAUGCCACAGAGUACCGCAACAUUGUGGGUGGACUGCAGUACUUGCUCAUUACUCGACCAGACAUAUCAUUUGCAGUUAACCGUGUGUGCCAGUACCUUCAUGCACCCCGUGAUUCUCACUGGUCGGCUGUUAAGCGCAUCUUGCGCUAUGUUCGUCACACUGGUUCAUAUGGUCUCCAUCUUCAGCCUGCGCGUUCUGGACUGAUCUCAGCAUUCUCUGAUGCCGACUGGGCUGGUUGUCCUGAUGAUCGGCGAUCCACGGGGGGACAUGCUGUGUUCUUUGGGCCUAACUUGAUCGCCUGGCAAGCUCGCAAGCAAGCUACGGUGUCUCGGAGUAGUACCGAAGCUGAGUACAAAGCUGUUGCUAAUGCCACAGCUGAGAUCAUGUGGGUGCAGUCAUUGCUUCGAGAGUUGAAGGUCUCCUCAACUCAGCCGCCUGUUCUUUGGUGUGAUAACAUCGGUGCAACAUACCUUCCAUCCAAUCCAGUAUUUCAUGCCCGAACGAAGCACAUCGAAGUUGACUAUCAUUUUGUGAGGGAACGUGUUGCUCAGAAGCUCCUUCAGAUUAAGUUUGUUUCUUCGAAGGAUCAGCUUGCUGAUAUUUUUACUAAACCCUUGCCCUUGCCUUCUUUUGAAGGAUGUCGUCGCAAUCUUAACCUUCUGAGUGUUUCAGGACAUAGUUAA